CGAGCCGCUGGCCCUCACCGGACGCUGCGCGCGCCACUGGCCCUCCGCGGGGCAGGGGCUGCUUUGAGCUCGCCGGGCGCCCUUUGGACGCUCAUCCUCAUCUACUUCACUACCAAAUGUUGAAGUUCUUCAAGAAUCAGUCCUUUGGAGGUGAUGUCAUCGAAAAUGAUGAGUAGGAAACUCCAAGAACGCAUUUCUGCACAAAACCAGUGAAUACAUUGGCAAAAAAUGCAUUUAAGGAAAUCUGUUUCUCUGUUGAAUCACUAGCUGCAAAUUAAGCUAAUAGAACGGAAGCUCUACUGGUUACACACAGCAACGAAUACAGACUUUGUAAAGUUCAGAAAAGUUACCAAACAAUAGUAACCAUAACAAGUACCAACAACAAACUAUGGGGAGGGAGGAGAAUCUGAUUUCCAGAGUUACCACAUUAUAAUACUAUUCAGAAUGUCACAUUUUUAGCAAAGAUUACAAGGCAAGGAAAAACCAAAAAAGUAUGGCCCAUACACAGGGAAAAAAGAAAUUAAUAGAAACUACCCCUGAAGAAGCACAGACUUUGGAUGUACAAAACAAAGACUUUUCAUCAACUCUUAGAUAUGCUAGAAGAGCUAAAGGAAACCGUGGACAGAGAACAAAAAAAUUAGGAAAGCAAUGUCUCAUCAAAUAUCAAGAGAUUGAAAUUGUAGAAAGGAACCAAAUAGAAAUUCUGGAAUUGAAAAGUAUUAUAACUAAAACUAAAAGUCCACUAUUAGCAGCAGACUGGAGAAGUCAGAAGAAAGAAUUAACAGGCUUCAAGAUAGUUCAAUUAAGAUUAUGCAGUCUGAGGAGCAGAAAGGAAAAAGAGUGAAGAAAAAUGAACAGAGCAUAAAAGACCUCUGGGACUCUAUCAGGCAUACCAGUAUAUGCAUAAUGGGAGUCCCAGAAGGAGAAGAGAGAGAGAAAGGAACAUAAAUAAUAUUUGAAGAAAUAAUGGUAGAAAAUGUCCCAGAUUUGAUGAAAUACAUGAAUCUAGAUAUUCAAGAGGCUCAAAGAACCCUAAAUAGGGUAAACUCAAAAAGACCCACAGCAAGACACAUCAUAAUUAAACUGUCAAUAGUCAAUGACAAAGAAUCCUGCAAGCAGCAAGAGAGAAGCAAUUCCUCACGUACAAAGGAUUCUCAAUAAGAUUAAUAGCUGACUCCUCAUUAGAAACCACAGAGGCCAGGAGGCAGUGGGAUAACAUAUUCAAAGUGCUGAAAGAAAAAACUGUCAAGAAUUCUGUAUUCAGCAAAACUAUCCUUCAGAAGUGAAGGAGAAAUUAAGACAUUCACAGAUAAGCAAAACCCGAGAGAGUAUGUCACUAGUAGUCCUGCCCUGCAAGAAAUACUAAACGGAUCCUUCAGCCUGAAGUGAAGACACUAGACAGUAAUUCAGAUGCACAUGAAUAAAUUAAAACCACUGAUAAAGAUUUAAAUACAUAGGUAGAUAUAAAUGAAAAGAAUUAUAUCUGUGACAAUGAAAGCACAAUGCAUAAAGGUGAUUCAUGAUGAUGAGGAAAGGAUGAAGUAUAGGAGCAAAAAUUUUGUGUACUGUUGAAACUAAGUUGGUAUUUAUUUGAAAUAAAUUGUUAUAAAUGA
Cercocebus atys (sooty mangabey) is the source of this 1613-nucleotide long non-coding RNA. RefSeq lists it as uncharacterized. NCBI's taxonomy places the organism in Eukaryota, Metazoa, Chordata, Mammalia, Primates, Cercopithecidae. The record is from RefSeq and is a predicted model, not a curated record. The transcript has 3 exons.